This 436-nucleotide ribosomal RNA is filed under the name Gogorevia ovalis. RNAcentral's name for it is "SSU rRNA". It matches the Rfam family "Eukaryotic small subunit ribosomal RNA", at positions 581 to 1028 of the family's 1831-position model. Lineage: Eukaryota; Bacillariophyta; Bacillariophyceae; Cocconeidales; Achnanthidiaceae. The record is from RNAcentral.
AAUUCCAGCUCCAAUAGCGUAUAUUAAAGUUGUUGCAGUUAAAAAGCUCGUAGUUGGAUUUCUGGUGUCCCCCAAGGUCCCAACUUGGGUGCUAUUGGGGGCUGCCAUCCGUGGGUGGAACCUGUGUGGCAUUAGGUUGUCGUGCAGGGGAUGCCCACCGUUUACUGUGAAAAAAUCAGCGCGUUCAAAGCAGGCUUAUGCCGUUGAAUGUAUUAGCAUGGAAUAAUAAGAUAGGACCUGGGUACUAUUUUGUUGGUUUGCGCACCGAGGUAAUGAUUAAGAGGGACAGUUGGGGGUCUUCGUAUUCCAUUGUCAGAGGUGAAAUUCUUGGAUUUCUGGAAGACGAACUACUGCGAAAGCAUUGACCAAGGAUGUUUUCAUUAAUCAAGAACGAAAGUAAGGGGAUCGAAGAUGAUUAGAUACCAUCGUAGUCUUA